GUUUGAUGUGCCCAUGUGUCAUGGGAAUCGAUCACGUCCUUUUUAGAUGUAGGUCACAUGAUCCAUAUUGUUCUUAGACACGAAAUAUCCUACGAUCAAACAAUGUUGGAGUAAGAAUGAUUAGGAAGUAAAAAUAGUAUUGAACUUCAAGGUAUAUGUUUCCAAAUUCAAUGUCAACCAAUUUUACUCUGUCGACGCAUCCGGCCUUUUUUUUUCUUUUUUUAAGUUCAUGCGGUUUCAUCAAUUUAUGUUUGUUACCUUGAUUUGUCUUCUAAAUAUUUUUAUGAGCUUGACCAUCAAUAAACUAUUGUUGUCUUAAAUAUUGCAAUGGUUUACACACAAAACAAUAGUACCAUUCGCCACUUCAGUAUCUAAAGCCC
RNAcentral lists this long non-coding RNA (380 nucleotides) under Mytilus galloprovincialis (Mediterranean mussel). The record is from RNAcentral. Lineage: Eukaryota; Metazoa; Mollusca; Bivalvia; Mytilida; Mytilidae.